UAGGGAAUCUUCGGCAAUGGACGAAAGUCUGACCGAGCAACGCCGCGUGAGGGAAGAAGGCUUUCGGAUUGUAAACCUCUGUUGUUAGAGAAGAACAAGGACGUUAGUAACUGAACGUCCCCUGACGGUAUCUAACCAGAAAGCCACGGCUAACUACGUGCCAGCAGCCGCGGUAAUACGUAGGUGGCAAGCGUUGUCCGGAUUUAUUGGGCGUAAAGCGAGCGCAGGCGGUUUCUUAAGUCUGAUGUGAAAGCCCCCGGCUCAACCGGGGAGGGUCAUUGGAAACUGGGAGACUUGAGUGCAGAAGAGGAGAGUGGAAUUCCAUGUGUAGCGGUGAAAUGCGUAGAUAUAUGGAGGAACACCAGUGGCGAAGGCGGCUCUCUGGUCUGUAACUGACGCUGAGGCUCGAAAGCGUGGGGAGCAAACAGG
Molecule: ribosomal RNA, 429 nt
Filed under: Acidobacteriota bacterium
Lineage: Bacteria; Pseudomonadati; Acidobacteriota
Description: Acidobacteria bacterium partial 16S ribosomal RNA
Rfam family: Bacterial small subunit ribosomal RNA
Source: RNAcentral